GGACUACAGGGGUAUCUAAUCCCGUUCGCUCCCCUAGCUUUCGCACCUGAGCGUCAGUGACUCCCCAGAACGCUGCCUUCGCCAUCGGUGUUCUUCCAGAUCUCUACGCAUUUCACCGCUCCACCUGGAAUUCCGCGUUCCUCUGAAGUCCUCAAGUCAUGCAGUUUCUCAAGCACUGCCCCAGUUGAGCCGGGACCUGUCACUCAAAACUUACACGACCGCCUGCGUGCGCUUUACGCCCAAUAAAUCCGGACAACGCUUGCCCCCUACGUAUUACCGCGGCUGCUGGCAC
Molecule: ribosomal RNA, 292 nt
Filed under: uncultured bacterium
Lineage: Bacteria
Description: partial 16S ribosomal RNA
Source: RNAcentral